Molecule: long non-coding RNA, 2390 nt
Organism: Equus asinus (donkey)
Lineage: Eukaryota; Metazoa; Chordata; Mammalia; Perissodactyla; Equidae
Source: Ensembl
CAUGCCUCUCCAAGACCCUCAGGUUCUUGUGAAUUGAGUUUGGUCUGAUGGCAGAAUCCACACACGAUGCAGGACUCUGUCUAUUUAGCUAAGAACUAAGGCUUAUCUUCCCCACUUCCAAACAGGCACCUGUCCAACUCCUCUUCUCCUCCCCAAGAUGCAGAGAUUUGAGCUGAAAGUAAGGAAUUUGUGCUCAAGAGGUAUAGUGGAUAGUGUCCUGUGUCAUCCAAGAAGAGACCACAGAGCCUGCGGAACUGAUACAGAGAAGAAGGCCAUGUGAAGACAGAGGCGGACUGGAGUGAUGCUGCCACAAGCCAAGGAACACCUGGAGUCACUAGUAGCCGGAAGAGGUCACACCCAAGGCACCACUGGGGUCUCUUCUGACCAGAUGAUGAAAUGGGAGAAAAAGGAUGUCAAUCCUUUGAAGAGUUCCAGCCAGCCUAAACUGCUCCACAAGAUGGCAUGGAGGAGACAAUGUCUACCAAAGCAACAAGUAAUGUGCUGAUGAGAGGGGUAUCAGCAUCGUUAAGAAGUUCAGUGGUGGCUGCCCUCUGUAAGCCAGAACUGACACUAGGAGAUGCCAUUACAGAACUGGGAUUGCUGAGAGAAAAGCGGACAAUCAGAUUCUGAAACAGUAAGGCAGGUGAUGAUGCAAACCAUCAGAAGCCAAGUGAUACAAUUAUUAUAAUCAGAAGAGUGGUCAGAGUGGCAGCCAGAGGGUUGCAAUCUGGCUCGAAGAGAUCUGAACCAUGAGGACAUUUUGUGGAAUGUAACAUGGGUCCACUAUAUAGAUGACAUCAUGGUAAUCUGGCUAGAUGAGCAAAAAGUGGCUGACACUUUGGAGGCCUUCUUAAGCCUAGUGUGGCACCAAGAAUAUGGUAGAUGCUCAGCAAAACUGAAGAAAGGGUGGCAGGAAGUGAAAACUCAACUCCUGAGUUCCUGCAUAUAUGACCCAGUGAAGAAUUAUUUCUGUCUGAAAGGAGAAAGGAUUCUGGGGAGACAGCAGGGCCCGAACCACCAUGAAUCUGUCUCCCCACCUAGACAACAAUGGCACUAGCAGAAUCUGUCUGAUGUAACUAUUUUGGAACUCUGGAGUCUAUUGAAGGCUUGCAACUUCCAGGGGAAGGUUUCGAAGGCAUGUCUUUCCAGCUGGGCCAGACUGAAAUCUCAAUCUUGUGACCACUGCGUUUUUCCAAAGAUGACUGCAAAAUCUCUCCUAUCCCACGUGCUCUUCUUACAAUGUGACCUUGAUGUUCUCCCAUCAAGUGUUGGGGUCCAUGUUCCUUCCCCUAGAACCUGGGCAGAGUUUUCUGUCUUGACUAAUAAACUCUGAUGGAAGUCACACUAAGCAACUCUUAAGACUAGAAAAUAAGAAUGCCAUGCUCUUCUACCUGCUUUCUUAGAGACGCCUACGAUUGGAAUCCAGCUGUCAUACUGUGAAGAAAUCCAAACUCACCCAGGUGGAGAGACCAACAGAGAGGCCACAUAUAGAUACUUUGGGUAAACAUUCAGCUGAGGUCUCAGCCAAUAACUAAUCAGCUGCUAGACACGUGAGUGAACCUGUCUUUAGAUACCUCCAUCUCCCAGCUGUGAAGCCACCAUUAUCCUUUGAGGCCCAGAGAAGAUCCUAAACACAGUAGAGAGAAGCCAUCCCCACGAUGCUCUGUCUGAAUUCCUGACCCACAAAAUUGAUGAACCUAAUAAUAUGAUUAUUUUGUACCACUAAGUUUGGAGCCUUUUGUUAAGCAACAAUAAAUAACUAUACAGGUUGUUAGAAUAAAUACCCUGGUUCACUCUCCUCCCUCAAUCUUCUGUUAGUACACCCCACAGGCCAAACCAACUGGAAUCCAGAGAGCAGGGGAGCCCACCGAAACAAACCAUAUAAGCCAGCUUCCUGGGGCAGAAAGCAGGGUGGAGCAUGGAUCUGGAGAGACCAGCAGAUAUCCGCUAUAGACUCUUCCUGGAAGAAAAAAAUAAGAAGAGAUUUCCUUUUCUCUGCACCCAUCCCCAACUUCCACCCCUGCAGUGUAGAAGCCAAAAUUGAUUAGGCUGGCUAAUUUGAAGAGAAAAGAUGGUAAGGACUCUGUGCUUUAGAGGUAAAAGAAGGAGAUGGUCUGGUUCACUCUGAUGAAGCUCACUGGAGGUGGUGGAACCACUGGUGGAGAUGGCUGCCUGGAUUCUCAAGACAAGCUCUAUUCCUCUCAGCCUUGUGAGUUCCUGUGGAGGGCCUAUGUCUGAGGUCAGCCCUGGGGGAGAGGAUAACCAAGUCUCACCCAAGCUGACAGCCUCCUGUUGAAGCAUGUGGGCCUGGGCAAAGACCAAUGACAAUGACGUCUAAAAGUGACUAAGAACUAUUGGUCUCUACUAUUUUCCUUGACCAUUGACUCAGA